Molecule: long non-coding RNA, 2438 nt
Organism: Columba livia (rock pigeon)
Lineage: Eukaryota; Metazoa; Chordata; Aves; Columbiformes; Columbidae
Exons: 3
Source: RefSeq, a predicted model, not a curated record
CUGACUUACUUAAAAGGUUUUCCUUCAAAUCAUAGUUUUGCACAGAUCCUUCAAAACGUAGUUUUGCACAGAAUACUGAGUUCUGUGUUUCCAUCAGCAUUAACAAAGUCCGGUUUAGUAUUUAACAUAAUCUGCUCAAAGAAGUCCUAUUACCCUGCAUACUUAGAGAGACAUCAUCUGAUAGGAAAUGGCUGCAAUACCUCCAGCUUUCCUAAAUACUGACAGUUUCAACCGUUUCUUAAGAAAUACUUACUCACUGGGGACUGCAGCUCUAAACAGAUGCUUCUGCUUUAAAAUACAAUCAUUUUCUUUAGCUUAAAUGGAUGACUCCUUACAAAUAAAGCAGUGGUAUGGCCUGGCAUAACACUGAAGGUCACCCAAAGAAAUGAGUGACCACCAGACAUUAUUCCACAAGGUAUCUCUGCAUAGUGUUUUUCUCCCUCUGCUACCUUACUGUUACCAUCCAUGAUUUCUUAAGGACCAUGACAUUUUUCCUUCAAGUAUUUCAUUCCAGCACUGGAAACAUUGUUUUCCUUCAAAGGACAAUUUCUGCCUUGAAACGCUAGCAACCAUUUACAGUUUUUCACAUUUGAAAAUCUGCUCCUGAUGAAACACGAGUGGGGCAAAAGUGUCCACAGGUGUCCACUGUGCACUCAAAAUAACAGAUUUAGCGAUAAGGGGAAAAAAUAAACCUCUUUGCAUCCUUCCAGGUCUUACAAUGGCAUUUACAUGACAAUGGAAAGAAGAAAGUGGUGAAUUGGCAGAAGUAACGUGGAAGACAUGGUUUAUUUUUUCUUAGCUCCUAUGAGAGGCCUGAAUUCUGGUCUGUUCAGCCCAGCACAGAAGCCAAGGAAGGGAUGGGCUGGAGGGUUUGCUCUACUUUCUCUUCUGUUAAAGCUGAGGACAAGACUAAAAGUUAAUAUAACAGCGAAUCUUUGCUGAGAGCCGAUGCGAUGACAGCUGUGCCCCGUGUAUCCGCACGCCACUCAGCGCGGAUGCUUUCAAACCUGCCCAUUUGUGUGUAUGUACGUGCUUAAUUUUGGUAAGCGCGAAAAUACUAAUGCGUGAACGUAACCUCCCUGAAUUCUGUACACACCAAUUCAGCUGACCAUUCACAUCAGCAUGUGCCCUUUGGAAAGUCUGUCCUUGAAUGUCUGUCCUGUUGCUUUUUCUUUGCUACUUCUCUUCAAUGUUUGUGCCUGGACUUGAACACUUGUGCCACGUCAAAGUGCCCUAGUUAGACUAAGUCCUGCUUCUUCCUUAAAACUGUACCCACUGGGUAGGAUUCACUUUGCAAAUUGCUCUGGAUUUGAUAAAUGCAACUUACUUCUUGUGUGGAACAAAUUUGGAACUAUUAUGUCCAUGCACAUUUUUAAAAUUCACAGGCGAGUUCUACAAAUUAUUUGUUUUACUGUUACUUAGCAUCUAUGAAUCUAAAAGCAUUUCAUAGAUAUCACUCACUGGUCAUUUCAUUAAUUAUGAUUUAGCUUGUUAUUAAUGUUUCCAUUUCUCAGAAGCAGAAGCUGCCGUGUGGGUAACUCAAAGAAGAGCCAUCGUUUUCAGAAGGGUUCAACAUGCAUAAUUGGCUUCUGAUUUCUAGAAGAACUCACCUUGCUGAGGGCUCAGCUCUUCUAAAAAAGUCUGGCUACAAGGGUCAGAAAGAAACUAUUAAAAUGCCUGACACCUAUUAAUCUACUCCUCUUUUAGGGAAAUGCAACAGGAAAGAACAAAAGUAAAGCUCCCAGUUGAGAAAGCACAGCAUGUGCAGCUUCACUGCAACAGGCAGCAAAAGGUCUAAGAACAAAAAGGACUACUGAGACCUGCACACACAGAGAUCCUCAUACAUUAGCUCAGAGAACCAAAGGUAGAGCGCUGUGUGCUACGCAAGUGUUUGGAAGUGAUGUAUGUCUGACAGAGAUGACAUGAGCAAGGAGACAAUCUGGGCCAGCGUUCCAAACACUGGGACUCCAGACUCAUGAAACGUCUGCCAGGGUCUGCUACUGAGUUAUUGUGUAAUCUUGGGUGAGUCAUUUAAAUUCUUUAUGCGCUAAUUUCACCAGCCUAUAAAAUAGGUGUAAUCCUCCCCCAUUUACCUCAGACAGCAAAAAUAUCUAUAAAACAUCUUAGAUGACAUGUUAUGUUCAGGCAAAUUUUUCUUCAGUAAGAAAUUCUCUGUAUGAGCUCUAUUUGUCCACAGAUCUUUUCGUCCUGCAAAUUCCUGCCCCCAGACACACACAUACAGUCACAUCAGUUCUGCCUGAGAGAUGAGAUGAACAUGCCUUUACUGUGAAAUCAAAAACAUCAUUCUGCUCCUAUAACUGCGGAAGAGAAAUUAAAUUAACUAUCAAACUUCAAGUCUUUUCAAGGAGACUGCAUGGGUCCAAAUCUUGCUUGUCUUAAUCAAGUGAGAAGCCCCAGUAAAAGUCAGUAGGAUACUU